GAUGAACGCUGGCGGCGUGCCUAAUACAUGCAAGUCGAGCGAACGGACGAGAAGCUUGCUUCUCUGAUGUUAGCGGCGGACGGGCGAGUAACACGUGGAUAACCUACCUAUAAGACUGGGAUAACUUCGGGAAACCGGAGCUAAUACCGGAUAAUAUUUUGAACCGCAUGGUUCAAAAGUGAAAGACGGUCUUGCUGUCACUUAUAGAUGGAUCCGCGCUGCAUUAGCUAGUUGGUAAGGUAACGGCUUACCAAGGCAACGAUGCAUAGCCGACCUGAGAGGGGAAUGGGCCACACGGAAACGGGAAACGGUCCAGGAUCCUAAGGGAAGGAACCAUUGGGAAUCUUCCGCAAUGGGCGGAAACCUUACGGAGCAACGGCGGGGGAGUGAAGAAGGUUUUCGGAUCGGAAAACUCUGUUUUUAGGGAAGAACAUAAGUGUAAGUAACUGUGCACAUCUUGACGGUACCUAAUCAGAAAGCCACGGCUAACUACGUG
Molecule: ribosomal RNA, 496 nt
Filed under: uncultured bacterium
Lineage: Bacteria
Description: partial 16S ribosomal RNA
Rfam family: Bacterial small subunit ribosomal RNA
Source: RNAcentral